CGUGAUUGUUGCUGGUCCUCUCGGGGGCAUGUGCACAUCCGUCAUCUUUAUCUUUCCACCUGUGCACAUUUUGUAGAUCUGAAAUUUUUUUCCAGGGCACCCCUUUAUGAGGGACUGCUGUGCAUCACUGCCAGCUUCCCUUGGAUUUUCAGGUCUAUGUUUUCACAUACACCAUAAGAAUGUAAUAGAAUGUUAUAUUGGGCCUUGUGCCUAUAAACUAUAUACAACUUUCAGCAACGGAUCUCUUGGCUCUCGCAUCGAUGAAGAACGCAGCGAAAUGCGAUAAGUAAUGUGAAUUGCAGAAUUCAGUGAAUCAUCGAAUCUUUGAACGCACCUUGCGCUCCUUGGUAUUCCGAGGAGCAUGCCUGUUUGAGUGUCAUUAAAUUCUCAACCUUAUCAGCUUUUGUUGAUAAUGGCUUGGAUGUGGGGGUUACUUUGCUGGUUUCUUUAAUGAGAUCAGCUCCCCUUAAAUGUAUUAGCUGGUUGCCUUGUGCAGACUUGUCUAUUGGUGUGAUAAUUAUCUACGCCGUGGACUUCUGCCAGUAUUUAGCACCGCUUCUAACUGUCUGUUUACUCAGACAAUUAUAUGACAAUUGACCUCAAAUCAGG
RNAcentral lists this ribosomal RNA (609 nucleotides) under Pholiota adirondackensis. RNAcentral describes it as "eukaryotic LSU rRNA". The stretch from base 226 to 379 matches the Rfam family "5.8S ribosomal RNA". The record is from RNAcentral. Lineage: Eukaryota; Fungi; Basidiomycota; Agaricomycetes; Agaricales; Strophariaceae.